GACGUAGGGCGCGAGCGUUGUCCGGAUUUAUUGGGCGUAAAGAGCUCGUAGGCGGCUUGUCGCGUCGAAUGUGAAAACCCACGGCUCAACUGUGGGCUUGCAUUCGAUACGGGCAGGCUAGAGUUCGGUAGGGGAGACUGGAAUUCCUGGUGUAGCGGUGAAAUGCGCAGAUAUCAGGAGGAACACCGGUGGCGAAGGCGGGUCUCUGGGCAUUAACUGACGCUGAGGAGCGAAAGCAUGGGGAGCGAACAGG
This 253-nucleotide ribosomal RNA is filed under the name uncultured bacterium. RNAcentral's name for it is "partial 16S ribosomal RNA". It matches the Rfam family "Bacterial small subunit ribosomal RNA", at positions 524 to 776 of the family's 1533-position model. The record is from RNAcentral.